Long non-coding RNA from Homo sapiens (human), 2191 nucleotides. RefSeq annotates it as CATED platinum resistance associated lncRNA regulator of DHX36. The transcript has 3 exons. NCBI's taxonomy places the organism in Eukaryota, Metazoa, Chordata, Mammalia, Primates, Hominidae. The record is from RefSeq and is marked validated.
GCUGCUGUAGCCCCUACGUGGUGAGUAGAUCGUCUCCACAGAAAUCAGCGGAGGCUUCCACAGUCCCUGGUUGGAAUGGAACCGGCGGUGAGGAUGAGAGGCGCUGAAGACCAGAAGACCCAGGGCGUGAACGGGGCGUGUCAUCCCUGGAGUUUCAGUAGAAUUUCAGGCCUGUCUGCUUGAGCAGCAGAGGAGGAGUUUCUGUGUGCCUGUGAGAGACUGUGUGUGUGUGUGUGUGUGUGUGUGUGUGUGAGAUGAAUGAACAGGGUUGUGUACGUGUGUGUGCGUUAGACAAAUGAACAGUGUUGUGUACCUGUGUGAAUUGUCACUGUGACUCCAGGCUCUAGGCUCUGCAGAUUCCUCAGCCCUAUCGCCUCACAGACACUUGGGAUGUGCAGCAGGUAAAAGAGAGAAGCCAGAUUCAUGGAGGCGUGAAGGAUCCCAGCAAGAAAACACAGACUUGAUCUUGAGACGAGAUUUUUGAAAUUGGUUGCGGCCUCAAGGCAGGCUCUGAGAAGACUCGAUAAAGAGUUCUCAGGAAUAGGCAUCCCUCCUGGAUAUUUCCCCCUUGGAAGCGCCGAGGAGCCAGCUCUAUGUUUGUAACCAUAGCAUUUCUAAAGCUCCAGCCCCAGGAACCUGCUGUGAAUUAGAGACAGAUUCCACCCUAGGCAUCACUGAUCUUGGCCUCUCUUGUAUUGGGAAGGUCAACACUGUUCCAGUUUCUCUCCUACUCCCAUCUGGUUGUGCUCGGUGAAGUAGGUGAGCAGUGCUACCCUUCUGUUAAAAAAAAAAAAAAAAAAAAGAUCCUGAAAGAGGAAAGAAUUUUUGCUACACAUCUGAAAGCUAAAGUCCAGUUGAACUCCAGAGGAGAACACAGCCCAGGUAACCCCUCGUUUGCAGCCUGUGAGACCAGCCUGAGGACAGCACCCAGCUAAACUCCAGGUCCAUGGAAACUGUGAGAUUUUAUAUAUUUAUGUUGUUUUAAGCUAAAUUCGUGGUAAUUGGUUAUGGUAGCAACUGAAAAUUAAUGCAGUAAGAAAGUCUAAGGAGAUCGGAAGAGACUAAAGAGAAAUAACAGCUAAAUGCAACGUAGAUUAAUGUGUGGGAUCCUGGAAAAGAAAAAGGACAUUAAUGGGAAAACAUAUUUGAAUAAGAUGUGCAAAUUUUUCGUAUUGUACCAAUGUUAAUUUCCUGGUUUUGAUAAUUAUCCUUUGGUUAUGUAAGAUAAACGCUAGAAUGAAGGGUAUAUGAGAACCCUCUGUACUACUCUUGCAACUUUUCUCUAAGUCUAAAAUAAGUGGAAAUUAAAAGUUAAAACAAAAAAAAAGGAAAAUUUUAUCUAUCCCAAGACCACAAAGUUAUUUUUCUGUUUCUUCCUCCAGAAUCUUUAUUGUUUGUUUUCACACUUAGACCUAUGAUCCAUCUUGAAUUUAUAUCUGUGUAUGUAGUGGGAUGAAGUUCAAAAUCAUUUUUUUCAUACAGAUAUCCAAGUGCACUGGCACCGUUUGUUAAAAACACUGGCCUUCUCUUAAGCUGCAGUCAGACUUUUACUGUAAAGCAUGGGCCCAUAUAUGUGCAGGAGUCUUUCUACUUUUCCGUUGGUCCUCUUUGUCAAUCUUUGUGCCAGCACCUCCAUUUUAAUUCCUGUAGCUUUAUAUUAUAUCUUGAUAAUCUGGUAAUAUAAGUUGAAGAACAACUUUGUUCUUCAAAAUCACUUUGUCUAUUCCAGGUUCUUUGCAUUGCUCUAUAAUUUUAGAAUGAGUUAAUUAAUUUUCUCAAAACAAACAAAACGCCCUGCUGACAUUUUGUUGGCAGUACAUUGAAUCAGUAGAUAAAUUUAGAGAGAAUUAUCUCAAAAUUGAGUCUUACAGUUCAUGAACAUGGAAUACAUUUCCAUUUAUUGAAUUCAUCUUUAAUUUCUUUCCUUAAGGUUUUGUUGUUUCCUGUCUAAAGGUCUUGCACAUCUGUUAAAUUUAUUCCUGUUUUACAUUUUUUAUGUUUUUACAAACUGUUAAGGUUUUAAAAAUUUUAUUUUUCAGUAGCUUUGCUUUAAUAUAAUUGUUUUAUACUUUUACCCUUUAUUCAGCAAUAAAUUAUUUAAUUUAAAGCUUGUGGAAUUAAAAAAUAUUUUUAUGUACAUAAUCAUGUAAUCUACACUAUCUGCAAAUAAAGAUCAUUUUACUUCCUUCCA